This 467-nucleotide ribosomal RNA is filed under the name uncultured bacterium. Its description in RNAcentral is "partial 16S ribosomal RNA". It matches the Rfam family "Bacterial small subunit ribosomal RNA", at positions 28 to 506 of the family's 1533-position model. The record is from RNAcentral.
GACGAACGCUGGCGGCGUGCUUAACACAUGCAAGUCGAACGGAAAGGCCCUGCUUUUGUGGGGUGCUCGAGUGGCGAACGGGUGAGUAACACGUGAGUAACCUGCCCUUGUCUUUGGGAUAACUUCAGGAAACUGGGGCUAAUACCGGAUAGGAGCUCCUGCUGCAUGGUGGGGGUUGGAAAGUUUCGGCGGUUGGGGCUGGACUCGCGGCUUACCAGCUUGUUGGUGGGGUAGGGGCUUACCAAGGAUUUGACGGGUAGCCGGCCUGAGAGGGUGACCGGCCACAGUGGGACUGAGAUACGGCCAAGACGCAUACGGGAGGAAGGAGUGGGGAAUAUAGCACAAUGGGCGGAAGCCGGAUGCAGCAACGCCGCGUGCGGGAAGACGGCUUUCGGGUUGGAAACCGCUUUCGACUGUGACGAAGCGUGAGUGACGGUAAUGGGUAAAGAAGCACCGGCUAACUACGG